AUUAAAAUCAUUUUUCAGUUUUUUGAUACUAUAUUUUAACUCUUCGUCUUAUUUGAAACUUUUUUAUGAUUAAUAUUUUUAUUCUUACUAGAUGAUAAAACAUGAAUAGUACUUUAUGCGUGACUAAUUUUUUAAAGUUUUUAUACAAAUUAUUCAAAUAAGACGAAUGGUCAAACGUUGGACACGGAAAAAC
Molecule: microRNA precursor, 193 nt
Filed under: Oryza brachyantha (malo sina)
Lineage: Eukaryota; Viridiplantae; Streptophyta; Magnoliopsida; Poales; Poaceae
Description: MIR812 microRNA precursor family
Rfam family: MIR812 microRNA precursor family
Source: Rfam by way of RNAcentral